GUAACACAUCAGCUGUCACAGGAGGAGCAGCUGAAGGAGCCACUUGUUAGCAUGGUUCCUCCUCAGGAAAACAAGGAUGGCUUUUAACAAAGCAGAGCUAAGGAUGGGGUAAGGUGCUCUCAGCUGUGUGAUCAGCUAAGGGCCCAUAUCUCAUAACCCAAUUUGCAUUCAGGUGCUCCCAAGGAUGGAUGAGCCCCUUACAGUUGGGUAAGAGGUGGAGCCUCUGCAAAUGGUGGGGGAUAUAAAUGAGGGGCAUCAUCAAAGUGGGGAUAUCUGGUGUGUGAUUGCACUAAAGCUUUCUGGGCUGAUGGAGCAUCAGGACCUGCAGAGCAUCUUCCACCUGACUGAAGGAGAACCUGGCAACUUCCUCCCCUGCAGUACUGCACAGCUGUAAGGAAGCUGUGAUGGCUUUGAGGAAGGAGUUUGGGUUCUGCAGCUGAUGUUCCCCUACUCACCCACCUGCAUCCUGCUCCAUCUCCAACACAUGGAGGGGCUUUGUGCUGCUGUAGGAGCUGCUGCUGCACACAGAGUUCCUGAUCUGCAGCCAUGCCUGAGGAAUGGGGGUAUUCAUACUGAGGAAAUAUGAAGCCAGCCUGAAUUGCUGCUGUGAUCUUGCUGCCAUACCACGGUUCUUGUGCCAGCUGUAUGAUGUUGCACAGACGGGAAAGAGCCCUGCACGUGUGAAGCAUGCUGUUGCAAAUUGCAGCUGAAUGUGCUUUGAGCUCAACACAACCAAGCCAGCUCCUUGUACUGGACGAUCUGUCCUGCAGGUUGUUUGGUGCCCCCAAAGAUUCAGCUCCAGAAGCCUCCUUGGUUCAGUGCCUGGCAUCACUUACAGGGCAGAAAGCACCAUCAUUCAGCAUGGAGCAUGCAAGUGCCAUCUGGUGCAAGUGGGUUGGAGGGUGAAUUAAACUGCUCUCAGAGGAAGAAGAGGCUGCAGACAUGUGUUCAUCAGCUCCUGUGUCUCCAGCAGGUUGGAGGAACACUGGAGCACAUUUAAAGCAACAGCUUAAUUAAAUGGUGCUGCAGUUCCUACCUUGCCUCGGAAAACUGUUGGCUUCUUGCCUCUAACCCCGUGUUCUGAAAGGGAAGAACAAUCAUGCACAUAGCCAAAAAUCUAGGUUGCUGGCCAAAAGCAUCCCAGAGCAUCUGGCUUGACAUCAGAGGAAUCACUGCUUCUGCUGCUGACCACUCUCCAGUGCCUGUGAUCUCUGUAACUCUUGGUAUUGUCUGUGGGAGCAGAACACACAGCAAAGGCUGGUUAGCUAAGAGAGGCAGCUAUCUCCUCCUGCCCUGUCGGUCACACUGGUGCAUCUGCUCCCUACCCCAGAGCAGCUGCUGUGAGAGGAUGCCGUGCUGCUUGCAGGGGAUGUCCAGCUGUGAGCAGCCUUGGGAACCAGUGAAAAGCACUAGGCAGCUUUGAAAAACAUUUCAGCAUUGUACUUUGAGGACUUUCGGUCCUUGCUAUAGCGCUGUUCCCAAAGAUGAGCAUAGGGAACCAUGAGCACCUUUCUCCCUGUCUGUUUGCAGUUGUGGGAUCUGACCUACUUUUUGUAAUUGCAGCACAACAGCCUCCCUUGUUUUCUGACUUACAGGAGUAGCAGUGCCCUGUGCUGCAAUGAGAUGCACCUUAACAAAUCUGCCCCAAGGAUGGAAGGCAGUUACAGGGGAGGCUGAUGGCAUUGCUCAUGUGGUGAUCUCCCACUCCUCCAUGGCUCCUACAGCCACGUGCAUCUGUGCGUUAAUGGCUGUAGCUGUGCCUGAGGGCGCAUCUGUAUUUUGGGAUGCAGGAAUGAAGCAGCUUCUACACCAUGGUUUACAAGGACACACAGCUGGGAGCAUUCCCACAGAGACCUUUUGCUUUCCUGCUGCCUAUGCACUGUCUGAAGAGCAGCUACUGAGAGCCAGGGAGAGGCACCCAGGAUGUGCUGUGGGCUUUUGGAGGACCAAGUUCCAACAGCAAGGAAACAGCAGUGUACACUCUUUCCCCUUGUUAAUAUUUCUUCAAAAGAUGCUACAGCUGCCUGGGAUGCUCCUACACAAGAGCAAGUCAUGAGUGAUGGCUUUCUUUGAGCAAUAUAGACUGGGAGCUCAGUUAAAUGUAUCAAAUUAACUGUCAAAAUAAUCUUCCAGGAUGUGAUGAGCCCACAGAUUAAGCAGCAUGUUAUUCUUUCUUUGUGCUUUCUUUUUCUUAUCUUAGCAGAAGGGAUUUACUGUAGAUUCCAAAAUCCAUAUUUGAAAUGAAUUGCAAAUAGUUUCUUGUAGUCUUGGCCCAUAUGAAAAGGAUUAUUACCCAAAACAACACUUCUGUCAGGGGGAAUGUAGGUUAAAGAGAAAUGGGAAUGUAAAUAAAUGUGCAGGCUUUGCAGUGCAUUCUGCAGGGGGCAUG
This is a long non-coding RNA of Coturnix japonica (Japanese quail), 2389 nucleotides long. RefSeq lists it as uncharacterized. The record is from RefSeq and is a predicted model, not a curated record. NCBI's taxonomy places the organism in Eukaryota, Metazoa, Chordata, Aves, Galliformes, Phasianidae.